CCAACAGGGAUUGCCUCAGUAACGGCGAGUGAAGCGGCAAAAGCUCAAAUUUGAANUCUGNCCCUUCGGNUCCGAGUUGUAAUUUGCAGAGGAUGUUUCGGGUAAGAUUUUGGUCUAAGUUCCUUGGAACAGGACGUCAUAGAGGGUGAGAAUCCCGUACGUGACUGUUAAUCGCACCCAUGUGAAACUCCUUCGACGAGUCGAGUUGUUUGGGAAUGCAGCUCAAAAUGGGUGGUAAAUUUCAUCUAAAGCUAAAUAUUGGCUAGAGACCGAUAGCGCACAAGUAGAGUGAUCGAAAGAUGAAAAGCACUUUGAAAAGAGAGUUAAACAGUAUGUGAAAUUGUUGAAAGGGAAGCGCUUGUAACCAGACUUGUUUAUAGGGUUCAGCCGUCGUUCUCGUCGGUGUAUUUCCCUAUUAUCAGGCCAGCAUUAGUUUAAGUGGAAGGUCAAAGGCCUUGGGAAUGUAUCAUCCUCCGGGAUGUCUUAUAGCCCUCGGUGUAAUGCUUCCCUCCUGGACUGAGGAACGCGCUUUUGCUCGGAUGCUGGCGUAAUGGUUGUAAGCGACC
This 566-nucleotide ribosomal RNA is filed under the name uncultured fungus. RNAcentral describes it as "eukaryotic LSU rRNA". It matches the Rfam family "Eukaryotic large subunit ribosomal RNA", at positions 65 to 649 of the family's 3401-position model. The record is from RNAcentral. Lineage: Eukaryota; Fungi.